GGAAGUAAAAGUCUAACAAGGUUUCCGUAGGUGAACCUGCGGAAGGAUCAUUAUCGUAGGGCUUCGGCCCUGUCGAGAUAGAACCCUUGCCUUUUUGAGUACCUUUCGUUUCCUCGGCAGCCUCGGCUGCCAAUGGGGACCCCAAAAAACACUUUGCAGUACCUGUAACAGUCUGAACAAACAAACAAAAAUUAAAGCUUUCAACAACGGAUCUCUUGGUUCUG
RNAcentral lists this unclassified non-coding RNA (224 nucleotides) under plant metagenome. RNAcentral's name for it is "partial contains small subunit ribosomal RNA, internal transcribed spacer 1, and 5.8S ribosomal RNA". The stretch from base 1 to 53 matches the Rfam family "Eukaryotic small subunit ribosomal RNA", at positions 1778 to 1831 of the family's 1831-position model. The record is from RNAcentral.